Molecule: ribosomal RNA, 483 nt
Filed under: uncultured bacterium
Lineage: Bacteria
Description: partial 16S ribosomal RNA
Rfam family: Bacterial small subunit ribosomal RNA
Source: RNAcentral
UGGGGAAUUUUGGACAAUGGGCGCAAGCCUGAUCCAGCCAUGCCGCGUGCGGGAAGAAGGCCUUCGGGUUGUAAACCGCUUUUGUCAGGGAAGAAAUCUUCUGAGUUAAUACCUCGGGAGGAUGACGGUACCUGAAGAAUAAGCACCGGCUAACUACGUGCCAGCAGCCGCGGUAAUACGUAGGGUGCAAGCGUUAAUCGGAAUUACUGGGCGUAAAGCGUGCGCAGGCGGUUUUGUAAGACAGAGGUGAAAUCCCCGGGCUCAACCUGGGAACUGCCUUUGUGACUGCAAGGCUUGAGUGCGGCAGAGGGGGGAUGGAAUUCCGCGUGUAGCAGUGAAAUGCGUAGAUAUGCGGAGGAACACCGAUGGCGAAGGCAAUCCCCUGGGCCUGCACUGACGCUCAUGCACGAAAGCGUGGGGAGCAAAACAGGAUUAGGUACCCUGGGUAGUCCACGCCCUAAACGAUGUCAACUGGUUGUUGGG